UAUGAAUAUUGAAAGUUUGUGUGUUUCCAGGCUAAGUUUAAUGCUUACAUAUCAUAGGUGAGCAAUAGGGUGUCACAGCAAACAAAGCAUUACUUUAGGGUUACCUGUGGCAACAUUUAACAAACACUGUUAAAUAGCUCAUUCAUUACCUGUGACUUACAGGCACAUUCAAAAGCAGUCUUAAAUAACGAGCAAGGGACACAAAAUGCUCACUUUGUU
Non-coding RNA from Poecilia reticulata (guppy), 219 nucleotides. Lineage: Eukaryota; Metazoa; Chordata; Actinopteri; Cyprinodontiformes; Poeciliidae. The record is from RefSeq and is a predicted model, not a curated record.